Molecule: ribosomal RNA, 543 nt
Filed under: uncultured bacterium
Lineage: Bacteria
Description: partial 16S ribosomal RNA
Rfam family: Bacterial small subunit ribosomal RNA
Source: RNAcentral
UGGGGAAUUUUGGACAAUGGGCGAAAGCCUGAUCCAGCAAUGCCGCGUGUGUGAAGAAGGCCUUCGGGUUGUAAAGCACUUUUGUCCGGAAAGAAAUCCUUGGCUCUAAUACAGUCGGGGGAUGACGGUACCGGAAGAAUAAGCACCGGCUAACUACGUGCCAGCAGCCGCGGUAAUACGUAGGGUGCAAGCGUUAAUCGGAAUUACUGGGCGUAAAGCGUGCGCAGGCGGUUUGCUAAGACCGAUGUGAAAUCCCCGGGCUCAACCUGGGAACUGCAUUGGUGACUGGCAGGCUAGAGUAUGGCAGAGGGGGGUAGAAUUCCACGUGUAGCAGUGAAAUGCGUAGAGAUGUGGAGGAAUACCGAUGGCGAAGGCAGCCCCCUGGGCCAAUACUGACGCUCAUGCACGAAAGCGUGGGGGAGCAAACAGGAUUAGAUACCCUGGUAGUCCAGCGCCCUAAACGAUGUCAACUAGUUGUUGGGGACUUCAUUUCCUUAGUAACGUAGCUAACGCGUGAAGUUGACCGCCUGGGGAGUACGGUCG